RNAcentral lists this ribosomal RNA (506 nucleotides) under uncultured bacterium. Its description in RNAcentral is "bacterial SSU rRNA". It matches the Rfam family "Bacterial small subunit ribosomal RNA", at positions 29 to 523 of the family's 1533-position model. The record is from RNAcentral.
AACGAACGCUGGCGGCGCGCCUAACACAUGCAAGUCGAACGAGAAUCCGGGGCAACCCGGUAGUAAAGUGGCAAACGGGUGAGGAAUACAUGGGUAACCUACCCUUGAGAAGGGAAUAACCCGCCGAAAGGUGAGCUAAUACCCUAUACGCUAUCUUUUUUUCGAAAGGAUAGGAAAGCCGGGUCGAGGACCUGGUACUCAAGGAGGGGCUCAUGUCCUAUCAGCUUGUUGGUGGGGUAACGGCCUACCAAGGCUACGACGGGUAGCUGGUCUGAGAGGAUGAUCAGCCACACUGGCACUGAGAUACGGGCCAGACUCCUACGGGAGGCAGCAGUGAGGAAUAUUGGACAAUGGACGAAAGUCUGAUCCAGCCAUGCCGCGUGCAGGAUGAAGGCGCUCAGCGUUGUAAACUGCUUUUGGAUGGGAAUAAUAACCUCGACGUGUCGGGGCGUUGAAGGUACCAUCAGAAUAAGCACCGGCUAACUCCGUGCCAGCAGCCGCGGUAA